AUGCAUCUAGCCGUGCAUGCAUCGGAGACAGGGUUGGGCCCACAAUCUCCCCCUCAACCAUGUCGGAGGGUCUUGAUGUCGAUGAUCCCGAUCUUGUUGCGCGGUUCUUGGAACUCGACGCAACCAAGUACCUUCGUUGGGAUGUCCGCCUUCUCGGCGGCCCGUACGCCCUGUUCGUGCUUCUUGAUCUCGGGUGCUGCGAUCGUCUCGCGGGCUCGAGAAGGUCCCCCUAGGCUUCGGAACCUGUGUGGAUCGCCACCAUUUUUGUUGGCAUCGAACAAGUCCGACCGCGCUGUUGACGGGGACAUGAACUGCCCGGGAACCACCUCGCUCGUGGGCGUCAGUGUUCCUGGGGUCGUAGUUCCUGAUGUCACACUGCCCGGGAACUCCCUUCCCGGGGUCGUCGUGCCGGACGCCGCACUGCCCGGGAACUCCCUUCCCAGGGAUGACUUGUCGGACAUCGCACUACCCAGGAACUCCUUUCCUGGGGUCGUUGUGCCGGACGCCGCACUGCCCGGAGUGGCUCCUCUCAGGGUAGCGAAGUCCUUGGUGUUCUUCCCAUCAGACUUGCUUGUCGGGUCUCCUCCGACAGUUGUGAGUCGUGCCUUCCGCACGGACUCGAUGGACCCCGAGCGCGUCAGGGUUGCUGCGUGGCUGACCAUAGAGCACCGCGCCUCCUGCACAGCCUCGAUGGUCGCCAGAGUCACGGUCGAGGCCUUGUCCCCCCAUGACCGUCUCUUCAUGGCCUCCCAGCUGUUGAGGCCCGUCGAAGAGUGCCGUGUUGCCCACACGGGCUUGCAGAACCCCGAGAACCUGGUUGUCGGGGUAUGGCCGACCUGA
RNAcentral lists this ribosomal RNA (840 nucleotides) under Triticum aestivum (bread wheat). RNAcentral describes it as "partial small subunit ribosomal RNA". Lineage: Eukaryota; Viridiplantae; Streptophyta; Magnoliopsida; Poales; Poaceae. The record is from RNAcentral.